CUCCAACGAUCAAUCUCAUCUGCCUCAAAAAUAAUAUUAAUAAAAAUACUGUACUUCAUGACUCUAUUCUAGCAUCACGAUGUCAAAUAAUGGCUACAUUUGCUAUGCGAGUAUUUAAAAUCAUUCAUCAAUUUAAGUUCCUCCUUUGUGGGUUCAAUGUGACCACACCACACUUACCAGAGGGAACCCAUAUUGAGGAAAUGAAAGCAACAUCAAACUACAAUAUAAAUAAGUAUCUCAAAUACAAAUUUCCUGUCAUAGAAAUGUCAAUUAAUGAAUGAUUAAGAUUGGAGGCUCCAUUUUCAUGAUUUGAUUCCUUCUUCAAAGUGUCACACUUGGAAAUUUGCAAGAUCCAUAACCUACGAAAGUUCACAAAAGAAAAUAAAAACACAAAGCAUGGCCUUAAAUAAAAAUUAAAUAUUACUUUAACAUUUUUUUUAUCUGAAAACUUCAGAAAAUGAAUGACCGGAAGUGGUGUUUACAAAGUUAGCAUAUGACAUGUUAUUUAUAUCAUCAGUAAAUAACAUGUCAUUAACCCACUAUUGAUUGGUUUGGAUGAAGUGUGGUUGGAUUUGGGAUUGUUGAAUUGGUUCGGUGUUGUGGAUAUGGUUGGUUGUUGCUGAGACGUAGGUUUGAUUGGUACGGGUUGAAUUUACAACGAAAGCACUGAAUAUAUUUUUC
RNAcentral lists this long non-coding RNA (681 nucleotides) under Trifolium pratense (red clover). RNAcentral describes it as "long non-coding RNA (TPRA_LNC013671)". Lineage: Eukaryota; Viridiplantae; Streptophyta; Magnoliopsida; Fabales; Fabaceae. The record is from RNAcentral.